This 219-nucleotide long non-coding RNA is filed under the name Brachypodium distachyon (stiff brome). RNAcentral's name for it is "long non-coding RNA (BDIS_LNC004521)". Lineage: Eukaryota; Viridiplantae; Streptophyta; Magnoliopsida; Poales; Poaceae. The record is from RNAcentral.
CGCAGUCCUUCUUGCACCACCGGCGAGCCUCCUUCGUGUCCUUCGAAUCCCCCCCGCGGGAACCGGACUCCACCGCUUCCGCCGAGGCGACGGUAGCCAGGAGGAGAAAUAAGAGCCCGGCGAGAAGGAGACACCACACGACGGCUGCACCACCCUUGCCCUUGGCACCGGCCAUGGCUGCCUAGCUAGCUAGUUAGCUAGCUACAGAGUACAGAGAUA